GAUGAACGCUGGCGGCGUGCCUAAUACAUGCAAGUCGAGCGAACGGACGAGAAGCUUGCUUCUCUGAUGUUAGCGGCGGACGGGUGAGUAACACGUGGAUAACCUACCUAUAAGACUGGGAUAACUUCGGGAAACCGGAGCUAAUACCGGAUAAUAUUUUGAACCGCAUGGUUCAAAAGUGAAAGACGGUCUUGCUGUCACUUAUAGAUGGAUCCGCGCUGCAUUAGCUAGUUGGUAAGGUAACGGCUUACCAAGGCAACGAUGCAUAGCCGACCUGAGAGGGUGACCGGCCACACUGGAACUGAGACACGGUCCAGACUCCUACGGGAGGCAGCAGUAGGGAAUCUUCCGCAAUGGGCGAAAGCCUGACGGAGCAACGCCGCGUGAGUGAUGAAGGUCUUCGGAUCGUAAAACUCUGUUAUUAGGGAAGAACAUAUGUGUAAGUAACUGUGCACAUCUUGACGGUACCUAAUCAGAAAGCCACGGCUAACUACGUGCCAGCAGCCGCGGUAAUACGUAGGUGGCAAGCGUUAUCCGAAAUUAUUGGGCGUAAAGCGCGCGUAGGCGGUUUUUUAAGUCUGAUGUGAAAGCCCACGGCUCAACCGUGGAGGGUCAUUGGAAACUGGAAAACUUGAGUGCAGAAGAGGAAAGUGGAAUUCCAUGUGUAGCGGUGAAAUGCGCAGAGAUAUGGAGGAACACCAGUGGCGAAGGCGACUUUCUGGUCUGUAACUGACGCUGAUGUGCGAAAGCGUGGGGAUCAAACAGGAUUAGAUACCCUGGUAGUCCACGCCGUAAACGAUGAGUGCUAAGUGUUAGGGGGUUUCCGCCCCUUAGUGCUGCAGCUAACGCAUUAAGCACUCCGCCUGGGGAGUACGACCGCAAGGUUGAAACUCAAAGGAAUUGACGGGGACCCGCACAAGCGGUGGAGCAUGUGGUUUAAUUCGAAGCAACGCGAAGAACCUUACCAAAUCUUGACAUCCUUUGACAACUCUAGAGAUAGAGCUUUCCCCUUCGGGGGACAAAGUGACAGGUGGUGCAUGGUUGUCGUCAGCUCGUGUCGUGAGAUGUUGGGUUAAGUCCCGCAACGAGCGCAACCCUUAAGCUUAGUUGCCAUCAUUAAGUUGGGCACUCUAAGUUGACUGCCGGUGACAAACCGGAGGAAGGUGGGGAUGACGUCAAAUCAUCAUGCCCCUUAUGAUUUGGGCUACACACGUGCUACAAUGGACAAUACAAAGGGCAGCGAAACCGCGAGGUCAAGCAAAUCCCAUAAAGUUGUUCUCAGUUCGGAUUGUAGUCUGCAACUCGACUACAUGAAGCUGGAAUCGCUAGUAAUCGUAGAUCAGCAUGCUACGGUGAAUACGUUCCCGGGUCU
This 1372-nucleotide ribosomal RNA is filed under the name uncultured bacterium. RNAcentral describes it as "bacterial SSU rRNA". It matches the Rfam family "Bacterial small subunit ribosomal RNA", at positions 28 to 1381 of the family's 1533-position model. The record is from RNAcentral.